This 378-nucleotide ribosomal RNA is filed under the name uncultured bacterium. RNAcentral's name for it is "bacterial SSU rRNA". It matches the Rfam family "Bacterial small subunit ribosomal RNA", at positions 521 to 896 of the family's 1533-position model. The record is from RNAcentral.
UAAUACGUAGGGUCCAAGCGUUGUCCGGAAUUAUUGGGCGUAAAGAGCUCGUAGGUGGUGUGUCGCGUCGGAUGUGAAAGCCCGGGGCUUAACCCCGGGUCUGCAUUCGGUACGGGCAUGCUGGAGUUCGGUAGGGGAGACUGGAAUUCCUGGUGUAGCGGUGAAAUGCGCAGAUAUCAGGAGGAACACCGGUGGCGAAGGCGGGUCUCUGGGCCGAUACUGACACUGAGGAGCGAAAGCGUGGGGAGCGAACAGGAUUAGAUACCCUGGUAGUCCACGCUGUAAACGUUGGGAACUAGGUGUGGGGUGCAUUCCACGUGCUCUGCGCCGCAGCUAACGCAUUAAGUUCCCCGCCUGGGGAGUACGGCCGCAAGGCUA